GGACUUUUCAAGAUUUUUUUCUGAUUUACUGUGGACAUUCUGUUUUGGUGGACCCAAAAAGUCCACGUAAAAAUAAACGCACAGAACACCUUUUAGCUGGACGUAAACGUAUCCGAAAGAACAAGUCUGUUUCGGUGGACUCAAAAAUUGUCCACCUUAGGCGCCAUCUAUCUCUAAACUAAAAAAUUUGAUGGUUCGUAGUUCCAAUAUCUGCCACAGACGGCGCCACCAUCGGCUGGCUCUGUGUUGAAGCUCGGAAACGCACGCCUUGAUCAGCGCGGGCUAGCGCGGGCAUGCAGCAAAAACGUAACAUGAUAUGAUUUAUAGUGUGGUCUGUGGAAUGUGAAGCGAUCAAAAUAGACGUUUGUUUUAUUUUUAAAAAAGUGUAAAAAUAAAUUAAUUAUAUUAUGUAUCUUAGAAACCCGUGAAUUAGAGUAUGAUGAAGUUUUGUGUAGUUGCAACAACACUGUUUUUUGUUGCGGUGUUAUCGGCGCGGCACGGCUCACCACGUGGCGGUGUCAGUGUUGGGAUUUGGAAGAGAUAAAGCUUUGGGUGGUACUAAUUUGUGUUUUUUUUUGUGCUGGGAGCUUUUUGAAGUCUGUGAGGUAGCUUGGAUGUUCAGGCCACUUUGAUAGUCCAAGAUGCUGUCUGGUACUAAUGUACGCAAGAAGCGACCAGCAGCUGUUACUUCUGGACGAAGGAGGAAAGUGGCGAAAACUGUUCAGGAUCUCUAUUUUGUGGAAAGAAUAUUAGCCCACCAGUGGAAAGACGGCAACAUGAUGUACCUCAUCAAGUGGCAAGGUUUCAGGAUGCCUACGUGGGAGCCAGCGCAGAACCUGAAUCCUGUGAUCCUUCAAAAGUACCACGGUAAGAGCCAUACAUUAUGCAUUCCAGUUAGCUAAACAAAUCUACGGCUUGUGUUUUUUAUUGGGUUUAGGUGCAUGCAAUUGUGACUUAAAAGAGCGUUUAAUUUUUCAGUCGUUGCUU
Molecule: long non-coding RNA, 987 nt
Organism: Amphibalanus amphitrite
Lineage: Eukaryota; Metazoa; Arthropoda; Thecostraca; Balanomorpha; Balanidae
Exons: 5
Source: RefSeq, a predicted model, not a curated record